RNAcentral lists this ribosomal RNA (503 nucleotides) under uncultured bacterium. RNAcentral's name for it is "partial 16S ribosomal RNA". It matches the Rfam family "Bacterial small subunit ribosomal RNA", at positions 30 to 523 of the family's 1533-position model. The record is from RNAcentral.
AUUGAACGCUGGCGGCAGGCUUAACACAUGCAAGUCGAGCGGGGAGACUGUUCUUGCACUAUCACUUAGUGGCGGCCGGUUGAGUAAUGCUUAGGAAGCUGCCUAUUAGUGGGGGACAACAUCUCGAAAGGGAUGAUAAUACCGCAUACGUCCUACGAGAGAAAGCAGGGGAUCACUUGUGACGUUGCGCUAAUAGAUGAGCCUAAGUCGGAUUAGCUAGUGGGUGGGGUAAAGGCGUACCAAGGCGACGAUCUGUAGCGGGUCUGAGAGGAGGAGCCGCCACACUGGGACUGAGACACGGCCCAGAAUCCUACGGGAGGCAGCAGUGGGGGAUAUUGGACAAUGGGGGGAACCCUGAUCCAGCCAUGCCGCGUGUGUGAAGAAGGCAUUAUGGUUGUAAAGCACUUUAAGCGAGGAGGAAGCUCUUUUGGUUAAUACCCAAGAUGAGUGGACGUUACUCGCAGAAUAAGCACCGGCUAACUCUGUGCCAGCCGCCGCCGUAA